Salmo salar (Atlantic salmon) is the source of this 54-nucleotide non-coding RNA. Lineage: Eukaryota; Metazoa; Chordata; Actinopteri; Salmoniformes; Salmonidae. The record is from Rfam.
UGCACUCACUACUGUAAGUCGCUCUGGAUAAGAGCGUCUGCUCAAUUACUAAAA